Molecule: ribosomal RNA, 465 nt
Filed under: uncultured bacterium
Lineage: Bacteria
Description: partial 16S ribosomal RNA
Rfam family: Bacterial small subunit ribosomal RNA
Source: RNAcentral
GACGAACGCUGGCGGCGUGCCUAACACAUGCCAGUCGAACGGAAAGGCCCCUUUGUUGCUACUCGAGGGGGGACCGCGUGCGUAAGACGAGAGCGACCUGCCCCUGCCUUUGGGAGAAGUUCAGCAUACUGGGGCGAAUACUGGUACGGCAUACUAGCUUCAAGCAGGGGGUUGAAAAGUUAAGGUGGUUUUUGCUGGACUCGCGGCUUAUCGGCUGGUUGGUUGGGUAGUUGCUUACGAAGGCUCUGACGGGUAGCCGGCCUGGGAGGGGGACCGGCGACAUUGGGACUGAGGGACGGCGCAGACGCGUACGGGAGGCAGCAGUGGGGAAUAUUGCAGAAUGAGCGGAAGCCUGAUGCGGAAGCGCCGCGUGCGGGAUAACGGCCUUCGGGUUGUAAACCGCUUUCAGCAGGGACGAAGCAUGUAGUGACGGUACCUACAGAGGAAGCAACGGCUAACUACGUG